UACGUAGGGUGCGAGCGUUAAUCGGAAUUACUGGGCGUAAAGCGUGCGCAGGCGGUUCGUUGUGUCGGCGGUGAAAGCCCCGGGCUCAACCUGGGAAUGGCCGUUGAAACUGGCGAACUGGAGUGUGGCAGAGGGGGUGGAAUUCCGCGUGUAGCAGUGAAAUGCGUAGAGAUGCGGAGGAACACCUGAGGCGAAGGCGGGCUACUGGGCCGAUACUGACGCUGAGGCGCGAAAGCCAGGGAGCAAACGGG
This 251-nucleotide ribosomal RNA is filed under the name uncultured bacterium. RNAcentral describes it as "partial 16S ribosomal RNA". It matches the Rfam family "Bacterial small subunit ribosomal RNA", at positions 524 to 776 of the family's 1533-position model. The record is from RNAcentral.